RNAcentral lists this ribosomal RNA (220 nucleotides) under uncultured Actinomycetales bacterium. RNAcentral describes it as "partial 16S ribosomal RNA". It matches the Rfam family "Bacterial small subunit ribosomal RNA", at positions 108 to 334 of the family's 1533-position model. Lineage: Bacteria; Bacillati; Actinomycetota; Actinomycetes; Actinomycetales. The record is from RNAcentral.
GAGUAACACGUGGGUGAUCUGCCCUGCACUUCGGGAUAAGCUGGGAAACUGGGUCUAAUACCGGAUGGGAGCCAUUUUAGUGUGAUGGUUGGAAAGUUUUUCGGUGUAGGAUGAGCUCGCGGCCUAUCAGCUUGUUGGUGGGGUAAUGGCCUACCAAGGCGGCGACGGGUAGCCGGCCUGAGAGGGUGGACGGCCACAUUGGGACUGAGAUACGGCCCAG